RNAcentral lists this ribosomal RNA (1162 nucleotides) under Brasilonema bambusae CR06-5A/1. RNAcentral describes it as "bacterial SSU rRNA". It matches the Rfam family "Bacterial small subunit ribosomal RNA", at positions 356 to 1531 of the family's 1533-position model. The record is from RNAcentral. Lineage: Bacteria; Bacillati; Cyanobacteriota; Cyanophyceae; Nostocales; Scytonemataceae.
GGGGAAUUUUCCGCAAUGGGCGAAAGCCUGACGGAGCAAUACCGCGUGAGGGAGGAAGGCUCUUGGGUUGUAAACCUCUUUUCUCAGGGAAUAAGUACUGAAGGUACCUGAGGAAUCAGCAUCGGCUAACUCCGUGCCAGCAGCCGCGGUAAUACGGAGGAUGCAAGCGUUAUCCGGAAUGAUUGGGCGUAAAGCGUCCGCAGGUGGUUAUUCAAGUCUGCUGUCAAAGAAUCUGGCUCAACCAGAUAAAGGCAGUGGAAACUGAGUGACUAGAGUAUGGUAGGGGUAGAGGGAAUUCCUGGUGUAGCGGUGAAAUGCGUAGAGAUCAGGAAGAACACCGGUGGCGAAAGCGCUCUGCUGGACCAAAACUGACACUGAGGGACGAAAGCUAGGGGAGCGAAUGGGAUUAGAUACCCCAGUAGUCCUAGCUGUAAACGAUGGAUACUAGGCGUUGCCCGUAUCGACCCGGGCAGUGUCGUAGCCAACGCGUUAAGUAUCCCGCCUGGGGAGUACGCACGCAAGUGUGAAACUCAAAGGAAUUGACGGGGGCCCGCACAAGCGGUGGAGUAUGUGGUUUAAUUCGAUGCAACGCGAAGAACCUUACCAGGGCUUGACAUGUCCGGAAUCUUCUGGAAACGGAAGAGUGCCUACGGGAGCCGGAACACAGGUGGUGCAUGGCUGUCGUCAGCUCGUGUCGUGAGAUGUUGGGUUAAGUCCCGCAACGAGCGCAACCCUCGUUCUUAGUUGCCAGCAAUUAGGUUGGGCACUCUAGGGAGACUGCCGGUGACAAACCGGAGGAAGGUGGGGAUGACGUCAAGUCAGCAUGCCCCUUACGUCCUGGGCUACACACGUACUACAAUGCUGUGGACAAAGGGCAGCAAGCUAGCAAUAGCAAGCAAAUCCCAUAAACCACGGCUCAGUUCAGAUCGCAGGCUGCAACUCGCCUGCGUGAAGGAGGAAUCGCUAGUAAUUGCAGGUCAGCAUACUGCAGUGAAUUCGUUCCCGGGCCUUGUACACACCGCCCGUCACACCAUGGAAGCUGGUCACGCCCGAAGUCGUUACCCUAACCUUUCGAGGAGGGGGACGCCGAAGGUAGGACUGGUGACUGGGGUGAAGUCGUAACAAGGUAGCCGUACCGGAAGGUGUGGCUGGAUCACCUCCU